CAGUUUUGUGUGGUUUCACUCACAGAUAUCCUGUGGGGGUUUUUUUCCGUAAAGAUUUUUUCGUCGUUCUAUUUUUUGCACAACAUUUUAUCCUUGACAGAUAAGGAUAUAUUUAAUGUGCUAGUACUAAGUGGAGCGAGAAAAUUCACAAGGACGAUAGGAGGAGAAACAGUGGAGUUCGUGCGUGGGUUUACGAUGGAAAAUCUGCUCCUGUCAUCGAUUUUGACAAGCAGUAUAUUUAGUGGCAUGAUCCUAUGUCGUCCUGUUGCUUAACUGGGUGUCUGACCCUCAUCUUAUCAAGGAUAUUAAAUGGCGCUAGGAAUGGAAUGUUGCCAAGUCAAUUUUGUUCAGAAAUUAUCAAACGACCAUUUCCAUUCCAACAUCCUUAAUUACUUAAAAAGGAGCGAAUGCACAUAGGAAAUUCUUGACACAAAUCACUAUUAACACAUACGAGUAUCAAAAAUCCAGCAAACGUCCAAUGGUCAUCCACCCCGAGGCGCAAGGAUGACCUGCCACCAGAAAAUUACAAAUUGAAAAGGGAAACCUGACAUAUCUUUUCAGAUGUCCAAUGAUAUCAUGUUUCUGACAUAAAUGGACACAUAACGACAUACCCGAGAAAAUGUUAGUUGAUGUCCUUUUGCCCCGACAUUUUGUUGUGAUUUAUUGUCGGAACGGGAAGUGAAGAAUGUUAUAUAUGGGUUUCCGACACAGUUAAGGGUGCUUCAGUCGGGAAGGAUGCAAGUAGCGGAAUAGAGAGCCAGGUGCAUAUAAAAUGUGAAAUAGGACUCAAAUAGGAUAGUGCACGACAAAGGAUGCAAGUGAUUAAUCAUACAUUGUAUUGCAUAUGCUGGAACUGCGGAAGGACUCUUUAAAUGUUCGCUGGUCAUCUCCGAAUGGGAUGAUGAAGGACAACUAUCGAAGUGACCAGCUAUUUCUGGAUAAAAAGGAGCCUGACUUGAAAACAGUCGUUUAUACUGAUUAGUUUGA
Hermetia illucens (black soldier fly) is the source of this 987-nucleotide long non-coding RNA. RefSeq lists it as uncharacterized. NCBI's taxonomy places the organism in Eukaryota, Metazoa, Arthropoda, Insecta, Diptera, Stratiomyidae. The transcript has 3 exons. The record is from RefSeq and is a predicted model, not a curated record.